GAAAAAUUUGGUUAUGGUUUAAAAAUGGUCACAAUGUAAAUAUAUUUUAAGGUAGAGAAAUCGUGGAAAAAUUUAAAUCUUUGCCCCAGGUGGAAGAGUUUUUCACAAGGUUAGAGGUCUGUGCGAUCAAUGAAAGUUGGACAAGGUUGUUCAAAGAAAAACGUUGCGAAAUGAGGUGCCAGCAGCCGCGGUUAUUCCUCUUACUGGAAACCAUUAUAUUUCGGCUGUGUGAGUAGUAAAACCUGUUUUAUUUUACUUUUAGCUCUAGGGUGAAAUCAGGGCUUUUUUGUUUCCUUGUAUAAAAUAUUUUUUCUCACGAAGUCUGGGUUAAAAAGGACCGGGAUUAGAUACCCCGUUACUCCAGAUGUCAAUUAAUAGCUGGGGACUACGAACUUUUGUUUAAAACCCUAAGAACUUGGCGGCGUGGUAUUAGUCCAGACAGGGGAACUUGACGCUUAAUUCGAUGAUCCGCGUUUAAUCUCAUCUUUUCUCGUAAGAUCAGGGGUAUAUCGCUGUUGAGGGGGCGGAGAGAUCAGAUAAAGGCCUCCGAUAAAAGGGGUUUUCCACUAAAUUCAGGUAAGACGCCCCCAAUGAAAAGAGGUUAGUUGAGUUACAAAAUUUUGGAUAGAUCUGGUAGUUAAGGUUUUGAAAUAGGACUUGUUAGUAAAUAAAAAUUAAAACGUUUUGUUGAAUAGGGAAAUGCUUCGCGUACAAAUCGCCCGUCGCUCUCUUGGAAACCGGAGAUAAGUCGUAACAUGGUAGGGGUAGGGGAACCUGUUCCUGGUUUAGAGUUGUAGAAAGU
This 802-nucleotide non-coding RNA is filed under the name Pinctada margaritifera. RNAcentral describes it as "small subunit ribosomal RNA". It matches the Rfam family "Microsporidia small subunit ribosomal RNA", at positions 295 to 1311 of the family's 1311-position model. Lineage: Eukaryota; Metazoa; Mollusca; Bivalvia; Pterioida; Pteriidae. The record is from RNAcentral.